Molecule: ribosomal RNA, 438 nt
Filed under: uncultured bacterium
Lineage: Bacteria
Description: bacterial SSU rRNA
Rfam family: Bacterial small subunit ribosomal RNA
Source: RNAcentral
AUUGAACGCUGGCGGCAUGGCUAAAACAUGCAAGUCGAACGGACCUCGCAAGAGGUUAGUGGCGGAAGGGUCAGUAAUACGAUCGAAUGUACCCCGAGGUGGGGGAUAGGCACGGGGAAACUGUGCGUAAUACCCCAUAAGCACCUAGGUGGAAAGAUUUAUCGCCUUGGGAGCAGCGAUCGUCCUAUCAGGUAGUUGGCGGGGUAAAAGCCCACCAAGCCGAAGACGGGUAGCGGGUGUGAGAGCACGGCCCGCGACAUCGGGACUGAGACACUGCCCGGACUCCUACGGGAGGCUGCAGUAACGAAUAUUCCGCAAUGGACGAAAGUCUGACGGAGCAAUGCCGCGUGCAGGAUGAAGCGGUUUCGCCGUGUAAACUGCUGUCAGGGCAGGAAAUACUGAUCCGCCCCAGAGGAAGAGACGGCUAACCCUGUGCCA